Anguilla anguilla (European eel) is the source of this 792-nucleotide long non-coding RNA. RefSeq lists it as uncharacterized. The record is from RefSeq and is a predicted model, not a curated record. The transcript has 2 exons. NCBI's taxonomy places the organism in Eukaryota, Metazoa, Chordata, Actinopteri, Anguilliformes, Anguillidae.
UCUUAUCAUUUUCCCCAUCAGGUGCCCGCAAUGCCUCGUGCAGCCUUCCCUCUAGGAAUGGCUUUGAAGGCUGAGAAAUUAGCAUUCUUUUUUUGGGAGAGGUUCCUCCUGGUGCAGGCAGCCCCAGCGCAAUCCUUUGAAGGUUGUGGCCCGCAAAAGACGGGGCUGAAUUGUGUUAUAAAGCGUCUGAGAAAAUGUCAGGAAUCUUUUUUUUGUGGACGAUCUCUCGUCUUUCUCUGUUUCCGGGUUAUCUGAAAGACCGAUCAGGAAACUGCGGAUCGACAAAAGAUUCCAGCGAAGAACAAAUGAAGCCAGUACCAGGCUUUGAGCCCUAAUCACUCUACCCAGACCUGUGACUGUUCUCCAUUCCCAUAGAGAAAUUUAAAUCCUUCCUAGAAGCUCAUUCUCCCAAGUGCGGUACUUUGUAAAAGUCAGACUGAAAUACUGCAAAGGGUUGUGCCUACCUGAAUGGAAGGGCAUGUCACAUUCAUCUUUUGAGACAGUCACAGGGGUGAUAAACAAUCUGGUUAGCUCCAAUUAUACGCAUAAAAGGGCUUGUCAAGUUUCAAAAUGACAUUUACAAAAAAACACUCUAUAAAGCCUCAGUUAAGUUCUCCUGGACACCCUCAAAAGGCUGUUAAAGCUUGCACAGCAGUACCCAGCACCACUGUAUUCAAGGCCUUCCAAAGACCCUUAAUCAACAGUCAUUUGUUAGACAGUUGUGACAAUCGCUGGGCCAUGACCCCAUGGAAUUACUUACUGCUCACACAAUAAAAUGAACUCUUAAAAUCC